This 429-nucleotide long non-coding RNA is filed under the name Sus scrofa (pig). RNAcentral's name for it is "lncRNA (ENSSSCG00030001512.1)". The record is from RNAcentral. Lineage: Eukaryota; Metazoa; Chordata; Mammalia; Artiodactyla; Suidae.
CCCAGUGCAGAGCAUGUAGAAGAUACCCAGUAAAGAUUUCCUGCUUGGUGGAGUGAAAAAAAACACAGCCUUCACCUCUCAUUGCUUGACCGCUGGAAGAGCAUGGAGAGAUGAGACUUCAGUGAGCUUCUAUUCCAAGACUUUGGGGAAAAAGUUCAGAUGGGUGACACAGAGACAGAGACGAGGACUCAUGGCUCCAAUCUAACCAUGGCACACGCUGCGUUCUCCUUCUGGAUUGAUGCCUCUUCCUCUUGGUUUUGGAAAACAGCAUUUAUACAGUACUUGAGACCACAUUCUUCUCCAUGUGUUGGCAGAGAAGCCUGGCCCAUAGAAAAAUCUCCAGCUUGCUUGCAGACCAAAAUCCAAAUGGAUUGUGGGGCUUUUUGUUGUUGUUGUUGUUUUGGGGGGGUGCACUUGCGGCAUAUGUAG